This 1443-nucleotide ribosomal RNA is filed under the name uncultured organism. Its description in RNAcentral is "SSU rRNA". It matches the Rfam family "Bacterial small subunit ribosomal RNA". The record is from RNAcentral.
GCUACAGGCUUAACACAUGCAAGUCGAGGGGCAGCAUUUCAGUUUGCUUGCAAACUGGAGAUGGCGACCGGCGCACGGGUGAGUAACACGUAUCCAACCUGCCGAUAACUCGGGGAUAGCCUUUCGAAAGAAAGAUUAAUACCCGAUGGUAUAAUCAGACCGCAUGGUCUUGUUAUUAAAGAAUUUCGGUUAUCGAUGGGGAUGCGUUCCAUUAGGCAGUUGGUGAGGUAACGGCUCACCAAACCUUCGAUGGAUAGGGGUUCUGAGAGGAAGGUCCCCCACAUUGGAACUGAGACACGGUCCAAACUCCUACGGGAGGCAGCAGUGAGGAAUAUUGGUCAAUGGGCGCAGGCCUGAACCAGCCAAGUAGCGUGAAGGAUGACUGCCCUAUGGGUUGUAAACUUCUUUUAUAUGGGAAUAAAGUUUUCCACGUGUGGAAUUUUGUAUGUACCAUAUGAAUAAGGAUCGGCUAACUCCGUGCCAGCAGCCGCGGUAAUACGGAGGAUCCGAGCGUUAUCCGGAUUUAUUGGGUUUAAAGGGAGCGUAGGUGGACAGUUAAGUCAGUUGUGAAAGUUUGCGGCUCAACCGUAAAAUUGCAGUUGAUACUGGCUGUCUUGAGUACAGUAGAGGUGGGCGGAAUUCGUGGUGUAGCGGUGAAAUGCUUAGAUAUCACGAAGAACUCCGAUUGCGAAGGCAGCUCGCUGGACUGCAACUGACACUGAUGCUCGAAAGUGUGGGUAUCAAACAGGAUUAGAUACCCUGGUAGUCCACACAGUAAACGAUGAAUACUCGCUGUUUGCGAUAUACAGUAAGCGGCCAAGCGAAAGCAUUAAGUAUUCCACCUGGGGAGUACGCCGGCAACGGUGAAACUCAAAGGAAUUGACGGGGGCCCGCACAAGCGGAGGAACAUGUGGUUUAAUUCGAUGAUACGCGAGGAACCUUACCCGGGCUUAAAUUGCAUUUGAAUAAUCUGGAAACAGGUUAGCCGCAAGGCAAAUGUGAAGGUGCUGCAUGGUUGUCGUCAGCUCGUGCCGUGAGGUGUCGGCUUAAGUGCCAUAACGAGCGCAACCCUUAUCUUUAGUUACUAACAGGUCAUGCUGAGGACUCUAGAGAGACUGCCGUCGUAAGAUGUGAGGAAGGUGGGGAUGACGUCAAAUCAGCACGGCCCUUACGUCCGGGGCUACACACGUGUUACAAUGGGGGGUACAGAAGGCAGCUACCUGGUGACAGGAUGCUAAUCCCAAAAGCCUCUCUCAGUUCGGAUCGAAGUCUGCAACCCGACUUCGUGAAGCUGGAUUCGCUAGUAAUCGCGCAUCAGCCAUGGCGCGGUGAAUACGUUCCCGGGCCUUGUACACACCGCCCGUCAAGCCAUGAAAGCCGGGGGUACCUGAAGUACGUAACCGCAAGGAGCGUCCUAGGGUAAAACUGGUAAUUGGGGCUAAG